This 460-nucleotide ribosomal RNA is filed under the name uncultured bacterium. Its description in RNAcentral is "partial 16S ribosomal RNA". It matches the Rfam family "Bacterial small subunit ribosomal RNA", at positions 338 to 795 of the family's 1533-position model. The record is from RNAcentral.
CCUACGGGUGGCAGCAGUGAGGAAUAUUGGUCAAUGGACGGAAGUCUGAACCAGCCAUGCCGCGUGCAGGAAGACGGCCUUAUGAGUUGUAAACUGCUUUUGCACAAGGGUAAACCUGAAUACGUGUAUUCAGCUGGAAGUACUUUACGAACAAGGAUCGGCUAACCCCGUGCCAGCAGCCGCGGUAAUAUGGAGGAUCCAAGCGAUAUCCGGAUUUAUUGGGUUUAAAGGGAGCGUAGGCGGAUUGAUAAGUUAGAGGUGAAAUGUCCGAGCUUAACUCGGGAACUGCCUCUAAUACUGGUAGUCUAGAGAGUAGAUGCGGUAGGCAGAAUGUAUGGUGUAGCGGUGAAAUGCUUAGAGAUCAUACAGAACACCGAUUGCGAAGGCAGCUUACCAAUCUAUAUCUGACGUUGAGGCGCGAAAGCGUGGGGAGCAAACAGGAUUAGAUACCCGUGUAGUC